Molecule: ribosomal RNA, 252 nt
Filed under: uncultured prokaryote
Description: partial 16S ribosomal RNA
Rfam family: Bacterial small subunit ribosomal RNA
Source: RNAcentral
GACAGAGGUGGCAAGCGUUGUUCGGAUUUACUGGGCGUAAAGGGUGCGUAGGUGGUUAGGUAAGACCUGUGGGAAAGACCUGGGCUUAACCCAGGAAGGUCGCAGGUGACUGCCUAGCUAGAGGGCGGGAGAGGAGCGCGGAAUUCCCGGUGUAGCGGUGAAAUGCGUAGAGAUCGGGAGGAAGGCCGGUGGCGAAGGCGGCGCUCUGGAACGUUCCUGACACUGAGGCACGAAAGCGUGGGGAGCAAACAG